GGGGCUGAUUCUGGAUUCGACGGGAUUUGCGAAACCCAAGGUGCAUGCCGAGGGGCGGUUGGCCUCGUAAAAAGCCGCAAAAAAAUAGUCGCAAACGACGAAACCUACGCUUUAGCAGCUUAAUAACCUGCUUAGAGCCCUCUCUCCCUAGCCUCCGCUCUUAGGACGGGGAUCAAGAGAGGUCAAACCCAAAAGAGAUCGCGCGGAUGCCCUGCCUGGGGUUAAAGCGUUAAAACGAAUCAGGCUAGUCUGGUAGUGGCGUGUCCGUCCGCAGGUGCCAGGCGAAUGUAAAGACUGACUAAGCAUGUAGUACCGAGGAUGUAGGAAUUUCGGACGCGGGUUCAACUCCCGCCAGCUCCACCA
RNAcentral lists this transfer-messenger RNA (363 nucleotides) under Salmonella enterica. It matches the Rfam family "transfer-messenger RNA". Rfam says of the family: Bacterial tmRNA, also known as 10Sa RNA or SsrA, is named for its dual tRNA and mRNA-like properties. Lineage: Bacteria; Pseudomonadati; Pseudomonadota; Gammaproteobacteria; Enterobacterales; Enterobacteriaceae. The record is from RNAcentral.